GACGAACGCUGGCGGCGUGCUUAACACAUGCAAGUCGAACGGAAAGGCCCUGCCUGCAGGGUACUCGAGUGGCGAACGGGUGAGUAACACGUGGGUGAUCUGCCCUGCACUUCGGGAUAAGCCUGGGAAACUGGGUCUAAUACCGGAUAGGAGCCAUUUUUAGUGUGAUGGUUGGAAAGGUUUUUCGGUGUAGGAUGAGCUCGCGGCCUAUCAGCUUGUUGGUGGGGUAAUGGCCUACCAAGGCGGCGACGGGUAGCCGGCCUGAGAGGGUGGACGGCCACAUUGGGACUGAGAUACGGCCCAGACUCCUACGGGAGGCAGCAGGGGGGAAUAUUGCACAAUGGGCGCAAGCCUGAUGCAGCGACGCCGCGUGGGGGAUGACGGCCUUCGGGUUGUAAACUCCUUUCGCUAGGGACGAAGCUUUUUGUGACGGUACCUAGAUAAGAAGCACCGGCUAACUACGUG
This 465-nucleotide ribosomal RNA is filed under the name uncultured bacterium. Its description in RNAcentral is "partial 16S ribosomal RNA". It matches the Rfam family "Bacterial small subunit ribosomal RNA", at positions 28 to 507 of the family's 1533-position model. The record is from RNAcentral.